Mus pahari (shrew mouse) is the source of this 991-nucleotide RNA transcript. It is a transcript of the gene named pyridoxal kinase pseudogene, with no coding region annotated. The transcript has a single exon. The record is from RefSeq and is a predicted model, not a curated record. NCBI's taxonomy places the organism in Eukaryota, Metazoa, Chordata, Mammalia, Rodentia, Muridae.
AUGGAGGGCGAAUGCCGGGCGCUCUCCAUCCAGAGCCAUGUUGUCCUCGGCUACGUGGGUAACAGAGCGGCCAUGUUUCCUCUGCAGGUUUUGGGAUUUGACGUUGAUGCUGUGCAGUUUUCAAACCACACAGGCUAUGCCCAUUGGAAGGGCCAGGUGCUGAAGCCCCAGGAACUGCAUGAGCUGUACGAGGGUCUCAAGGUGAACAGCGUCAAUAAGUAUGACUACGUGCUCACUGGUUACACGAGAGACAAGUCUUUCCUGGCCACGGUGGUGGACGUUGUGCAGGAGCUGAAGAAACAGGACUCUCAACUCGUGUAUGUGUGUGACCCUGUGAUGGGCGACAAGUGGAAUGGGGAAGGCUCCAUGUAUGUUCCCCAGGACCUCCUUCCUGUGUACAGGGACAAAGUGGUACCCGUGGCUGACAUCAUCACUCCCAACCAGUUUGAGGCUGAGUUGCUGAGUGGCAGAAAAAUCCACAGCCAGGAAGAAGCCUUUGAGGUGAUGAACUUGCUGCAUUGUAUGGGUUCCGACACUGUGGUCAUCACCAACUCUGACCUGCCCUCCCCUCAGGGCAGCGACUACCUGAUCGCACUGGGCAGUCAGAGGAUUCGGAAGCCUGACGGCUCCACGGUGACCUAGCGCAUCUGGAUGGAGAUGCACAAGGUGGAAGCUGUCUCUGGGGACACCGGGGACCUCUUCGCUGACAUGCUUCUGGUGUGGACACACAAGCACCCGGACAAUCUCAAGGUGGCCUGUGAGAAAACUGUCUGCCAUGCAGCACGUCCUAUAGAGGACCAUCCAGUGUGCGAAAGCUGAAGCAGGAGAAGGACAGAAGCCCAGCCCAGCUCAGCUGGAGCUGAGGAUGGUCCAGAGCAAAAGGGACAUCCAGGACCCCGAGAUCAUCGUGCAGGCCACGGUGCUGUGAGGACCACACACACUCGCCCUGACACACAGCAAGCUGAGGUGUCUGUCUCCAUCCCUGUGAAAA